RNAcentral lists this ribosomal RNA (731 nucleotides) under uncultured bacterium. RNAcentral describes it as "bacterial SSU rRNA". It matches the Rfam family "Bacterial small subunit ribosomal RNA", at positions 771 to 1501 of the family's 1533-position model. The record is from RNAcentral.
AACAGGAUUAGAUACCCUGGUAGUCCACGCCGUAAACGAUGUCAACUAGUUGUUCGUGUCAUUAAGACGUGAGUAACGCAGCUAACGCACUAAGUUGACCGCCUGGGGAGUACGGCCGCAAGGUUAAAACUCAAAUGAAUUGACGGGGGCCCGCACAAGCGGUGGAGCAUGUGGUUUAAUUCGAUGCAACGCGAAGAACCUUACCAUCCCUUGACAUCCAGUGAAUUUUUCAGAGAUGAAUUAGUGCCUUCGGGAACACUGAGACAGGUGCUGCAUGGCUGUCGUCAGCUCGUGUUGUGAGAUGUUGGGUUAAGUCCCGCAACGAGCGCAACCCUUAUCCUUAGUUGCCAGCACGUAAAGGUGGGAACUCUGGGGAGACUGCCGGUGAUAAACCGGAGGAAGGUGGGGACGACGUCAAGUCAUCAUGGCCCUUACGGGAUGGGCUACACACGUGCUACAAUGGCGCAUACAAAGGGCAGCAAGCCAGCGAUGGUUAGCGAAUCUCAUAAAGUGCGUCGUAGUCCGGAUUGGAGUCUGCAACUCGACUCCAUGAAGUCGGAAUCGCUAGUAAUCGUGGAUCAGAAUGCCACGGUGAAUACGUUCCCGGGCCUUGUACACACCGCCCGUCACACCAUGGGAGUGGGCUGCACCAGAAGUGGUUAGUUUAACCUUCGGGAGAACGAUCACCACGGUGUGGUUCAUGACUGGGGUGAAGUCGUAACAAGGUAACC